Long non-coding RNA from Oncorhynchus tshawytscha (Chinook salmon), 702 nucleotides. The record is from Ensembl. Lineage: Eukaryota; Metazoa; Chordata; Actinopteri; Salmoniformes; Salmonidae.
GUAGGGGCCUGAGGGCACACAGUGUGUUGUAGAUAUGUGGUAGUGGUGGGAGUAGGGGCCUGAGGGCACACAGUGUGUUGUAGAUAUGUGGUAGUGGUGGGAGUAGGGGCCUGAGGGCACACAGUGUGUUGUAGAUAUGUGGUAGUGGUGGAGUAGGGGCCUGAGGGCACACAGUGUGUUGUAGACAUGUGGUAGUGGUGGAGUAGGGGCCUGAGGGCACACAGUGUGUUGUAGAUAUGUGGUAGUGGUGGAGUAGGGGCCUGAGGGCACACAGUGUGUUGUAGAUAUGAGGUAGUGGUGGACUAGGGGCCUGAGGGCACACAGUGUGUUGUAGAUAUGAGGUAGUGGUGGAGUAGGGGCCUGAGGGCACACAGUGUGUUGUAGAUAUGUGGUAGUGGUAGAGUAUGGGCCUGAGGGCACACAGUGUGUUGUAGAUAUGUGGUAGUGGUGGAGUAGGGGCCUGAGGGCACACAGUGUGUUGUAGAUAUGUGGUUGUGGUGGAGUAGGGGCCUGAGGGCACACAGUGUGUUGUAGAUAUGUGGUAGUGGUGGGAGUAGGGGCCUGAGGGCACACAGUGUGUUGUAGCUAUGUGGUUGUGGUGGGGUAGGGGCCUGAGGGCACACAGUGUGUUGUAGAUAUGUGGUAGUGGUGGAGUAGGGGCCUGAGGGCACACAGUGUGUUGUAGAUAUGUGGUUGUGGUGG